CGGCAUAUAUUCAGCCGUAGGCGCCGGCUCCUCAACACUAGGUGGAGUUUGGAGGUUAAGGAGACACUAGUGAACAAACCUACACGACACAGUCAAUGUCACUGGGCAGAGGAGGAGAAGGACGGCUCCUCUUCUCAUUUCUCCUCCUCGUCGCCACGUCGCGUCGGUACCUCCACCUACGUCUCCGGAGGAUGUCGAUACCGAAGGAGGGGGUUCCGUCCGUGGUCGGGAUAAUACGAGGUGGAGGAGGAGGUGGUCUACCACUUGACACCCUCAUGAAGGGAACGGGAAAGACAAUGUAGCUCCAGCUUUACGGGAAGUAGAGGUCGGUAGACGUCCUCCUUGUGACGAAACUGUGGUCUUUACGACAAACGGGCUAUACGCGGCUCUUAGACCCCUUCCUGUACAGGCGCGUAAAGUCUAAGGUUGUGGGGGUAGAAGAGUUCUCCUCCUUCGGAAGCUCCGGGUCGUCGAGUGGUACCGGUCGUCGCCGUAGUGGUGGACGUAUACUACACUUGGGGAUGUACUACUCAUCGUCCGGUACGGUCCUGGGACUCGGACUGGGCGACGAGAGGGUCAAGUAGACGCCGUCGCCUCUGGUUUGGCUUUGGCUCGGCCCUGAUGCGGUGCCGGGCUCGUCGCGAGUAGGCCGCCUACGGGUCUCCGGACACUCGGUCGACCUCGACCUCCUCUCCGACGUCUCCUAACUCAAGGAAUCCCUCUAAUAGUGUAGCUGGUAAGAAAUCAAAUGAUAUUCGAGAUUAAUACAAGAUUCGGACACAAAAUACCAGGUCUACAUGAUAUAUCGGAACCGAUAGGUAGAUAGUUAUGUUGUAAACGUAUGAAACGUCAAUAAAGAAACAAUAUUAAAUGAGAAAAAGUAUUUUUUUCAAUUACACGAAGAAACCACAUACAUGACUCUCCUAAUUGUACUUGUAGUUAGUCACAAGGUA
Molecule: ribosomal RNA, 953 nt
Filed under: Triticum aestivum (bread wheat)
Lineage: Eukaryota; Viridiplantae; Streptophyta; Magnoliopsida; Poales; Poaceae
Description: partial small subunit ribosomal RNA
Source: RNAcentral